This 275-nucleotide ribosomal RNA is filed under the name uncultured bacterium. RNAcentral describes it as "partial 16S ribosomal RNA". It matches the Rfam family "Bacterial small subunit ribosomal RNA", at positions 523 to 797 of the family's 1533-position model. The record is from RNAcentral.
AUACGGAGGGAGCAAGCGUUAUUCGGAAUCACUGGGCGUAAAGGACGCGUAGGCGGGUUUGUAAGUCAGGUGUGAAAUCCUACAGCUCAACUGUAGAACUGCACUUGAAACUACAGACCUAGAGUAUGGAAGGGGCAGAUGGAAUUAGUGGUGUAGGGGUAAAAUCCGUAGAUAUCACUAGGAAUACCGAAAGCGAAGGCGAUCUGCUGGGACAUUACUGACGCUGAGGCGUGAAAGCGUGGGGAGCAAACAGGAUUAGAAACCCUAGUAGUCCC